This 526-nucleotide ribosomal RNA is filed under the name uncultured bacterium. RNAcentral's name for it is "bacterial SSU rRNA". It matches the Rfam family "Bacterial small subunit ribosomal RNA", at positions 777 to 1304 of the family's 1533-position model. The record is from RNAcentral.
AAUAGAUACCCAGGUAGUCCACGCCGUAAACGAUGUCGAUUUGGAGGUUGUGCCCUUGAGGCGUGGCUUCCGGAGCUAACGCGUUAAAUCGACCGCCUGGGGAGUACGGCCGCAAGGUUAAAACUCAAAUGAAUUGACGGGGGCCCGCACAAGCGGUGGAGCAUGUGGUUUAAUUCGAUGCAACGCGAAGAACCUUACCUGGUCUUGACAUCCACAGAACUUAGCAGAGAUGCUUUGGUGCCUUCGGGAACUGUGAGACAGGUGCUGCAUGGCUGUCGUCAGCUCGUGUUGUGAAAUGUUGGGUUAAGUCCCGCAACGAGCGCAACCCUUAUCCUUUGUUGCCAGCGGUUAGGCCGGGAACUCAAAGGAGACUGCCAGUGAAAACUGGAGGAAGGUGGGGAUGACGUCAAGUCAUCAUGGCCCUUACGACCAGGGCUACACACGUGCUACAAUGGCGCAUACAAAGAGAAGCGACCUCGCGAGAGCAAGCGGACCUCAUAAAGUGCGUCGUAGUCCGGAUUGGAGU